GGCGGCGUGCUUAACACAUGCAAGUCAAGGGGGCCCAGCAAUGGGCAACCGGCGAACGGGUGCGUAACACGUGAGCAACCUACCGAACUGUGGGGGAUAGCCGGCCUAACGGCCGAGUAAUACCGCAUACGCUUUCAGUGAGGCAUUUCACUGAAAGGAAACCUACGGGACAGAUCGAGGGGCUCGCGGCCUAUCAACUAGUUGGCGAGGUAACGGCUCACCAAGGCAACGACGGGUAGCUGGUCUGAGAGGAUGGCCAGCCACAUUGGGACUGAGAUACGGCCCAGACUCCUACGGGAGGCAGCAGUGGGGAAUCUUGCGCAAUGGCCUAACGGCUGACGCACCGACNCCNCGUGUAUGAUGAAGCUCCUCGGAGUGUAAACCACUGUUGCCCGGGACGAAUAACUCGAUUAAUCGAGCCUGACGGUUCCGGGUGAGGAAGCACCGGCUAACUCCGUGCCAGCAGCCGCGGUAAUACGGGGGGUGCGAGCGUUGUCCGGAAUCACUGGGCGUAAAGGGCGCGUA
RNAcentral lists this ribosomal RNA (525 nucleotides) under uncultured bacterium. Its description in RNAcentral is "bacterial SSU rRNA". It matches the Rfam family "Bacterial small subunit ribosomal RNA", at positions 38 to 573 of the family's 1533-position model. The record is from RNAcentral.